This 402-nucleotide ribosomal RNA is filed under the name uncultured bacterium. RNAcentral describes it as "bacterial SSU rRNA". It matches the Rfam family "Bacterial small subunit ribosomal RNA", at positions 355 to 774 of the family's 1533-position model. The record is from RNAcentral.
UGGGGAAUAUUGGACAAUGGGCGCAAGCCUGAUCCAGCCAUGCCGCGUGGGUGAUGAAGGCCCUAGGGUUGUAAAGCCCUUUCGGCGGGGAAGAUAAUGACGGUACCCGCAGAAGAAGCCCCGGCUAACUUCGUGCCAGCAGCCGCGGUAAUACGAAGGGGGCUAGCGUUGCUCGGAAUCACUGGGCGUAAAGCGCACGUAGGCGGAUUGCUAAGUCAGGGGUGAAAUCCUGGAGCUCAACUCCAGAACUGCCUUUGAUACUGGCGAGCUUGAGUCCGGGAGAGGUGAGUGGAACUGCGAGUGUAGAGGUGAAAUUCGUAGAUAUUCGCAAGAACACCAGUGGCGAAGGCGGCUCACUGGCCCGGUACUGACGCUGAGGUGCGAAAGCGUGGGGAGCAAACA